GGGCAAGGACUGCACUCCGUAACCAUUGUGAACGUUACCUUACACCGUUGCUUCGGCGGGCGGCACCGGGCUCACCCCCGGCGCCCCCCGGCCCCCUACAGGGCGCCCGCCGGAGGCUCUAACUCUUGAAUUUAUGGCCUCUCUGAGUCUUCUGUACUGAAUAAGUCAAAACUUUCAACAACGGAUCUCUUGGUUCUGGCAUCGAUGAAGAACGCAGCGAAAUGCGAUAAGUAAUGUGAAUUGCAGAAUUCAGUGAAUCAUCGAAUCUUUGAACGCACAUUGCGCCCGCCAGUAUUCUGGCGGGCAUGCCUGUUCGAGCGUCAUUUCAACCAUCAAGCCCCCGGCUUGUGUUGGGGACCUGCGGCUGCCGCAGGCCCUGAAAACCAGUGGCGGGCUCGCUAGUCACUCCGAGCGUAGUAGUAUUAUCUCGCUCAGGGCGUGCUGCGGGUUCCGGCCGUUAAAAAGCCUUUUUUACCCAAGGUUGACCUCGGAUCAGGUAGGAAGACCCGCUGAACUUAAGCAUAUCAAA
RNAcentral lists this ribosomal RNA (529 nucleotides) under Chaetomium sp. TBG2-10. RNAcentral's name for it is "eukaryotic LSU rRNA". The stretch from base 170 to 323 matches the Rfam family "5.8S ribosomal RNA". The record is from RNAcentral. Lineage: Eukaryota; Fungi; Ascomycota; Sordariomycetes; Sordariales; Chaetomiaceae.